UCCCUAGCUUGUCUGAGAGGAUGACCAGCCACACUGGAACUGAUACACGUUCGAGACGCCUACGGGAGGCAGCAGAGGGGAAUAUUGCACAAUCGGCGCAUGCAUGAUGCAGCCCUGCCGCGUCUAUGAAGAAGGCCUUGCGGGGUGGAAAGUAAUUAAAGCGGGGAGGAAGGGAGGAAAGUUAAUACCAUUGCUCAGUGACGUUACCCGCAAAAGAAGCACCGGCUAACUCCGUGCCAGCAGCCGCGGUAAUACGGAGGGUGCAAGCGUUAAUCGGAAUUACUGGGCGUAAAGCGCACGCAGGCGGUUUGUUAAGUCAGAUGUGAAAUCCCCGGGCUCAACCUGGGAACUGCAUCUGAUACUGGCAAGCUUGAGUCUCGUAGAGGGGGGUAGAAU
RNAcentral lists this ribosomal RNA (396 nucleotides) under Shigella sonnei. RNAcentral's name for it is "bacterial SSU rRNA". It matches the Rfam family "Bacterial small subunit ribosomal RNA", at positions 280 to 667 of the family's 1533-position model. Lineage: Bacteria; Pseudomonadati; Pseudomonadota; Gammaproteobacteria; Enterobacterales; Enterobacteriaceae. The record is from RNAcentral.